AGUGAACGCUGGCGGUAGGCCUAACACAUGCAAGUCGAACGGCAGCACAGUAAGAGCUUGCUCUUACGGGUGGCGAGUGGCGGACGGGUGAGGAAUACAUCGGAAUCUACUUUUUCGUGGGGGAUAACGUAGGGAAACUUACGCUAAUACCGCAUACGACCUACGGGUGAAAGCAGGGGAUCUUCGGACCUUGCGCGAUUGAUUGAGCCGAUGUCGGAUUAGCUAGUUGGCGGGGUAAAGGCCCACCAAGGCGACGAUCCGUAGCUGGUCUGAGAGGAUGAUCAGCCACACUGGAACUGAGACACGGUCCAGACUCCUACGGGAGGCAGCAGUGGGGAAUAUUGGACAAUGGGCGAAAGCCUGAUCCAGCCAUACCGCGUGGGUGAAGAAGGCCUUCGGGUUGUAAAGCCCUUUUGUUGGGAAAGAAAAGCAGCAGGUUAAUACCCCGCUGUUCUGACGGUACCCAAAGAAUAAGCACCGGCUAACUUCGUG
Molecule: ribosomal RNA, 492 nt
Filed under: uncultured bacterium
Lineage: Bacteria
Description: partial 16S ribosomal RNA
Rfam family: Bacterial small subunit ribosomal RNA
Source: RNAcentral